CUCCCUCCCUCCCCUUCGGCAAGAUCUAGCGCGCUCUAAGAUCCCCAUGCUCUGCUCCUCCCUCCCUCCCCUCCGGCAAGAUCCAGCGUGCAGCCUCACUCUCCUCGAUCCAGAUCGAGGCGCCCCGCCUUCGUCUCCCUCUGUCUCCCACCCGAUGGAGGCCGUGGUGGGGGAAGCGAGGGGUCUCGGCUUCCCCUCCCAUCGCCGCACCACUCGUCCGCUAGCUCCCCACGUGGGCGGAUUCGGAUGGAGGUGGCCGUCGCCGGGCACAACGACUCCACCCGCCAGGUCGUCACCGCGCUCCUCCGCAAGUGAACCAACUUCCUUCUCCUUGCUUAGCUAGUCAAUUUUCCUACUACUGAAUUGGGCUCUGUUUCUGUUCCUUCUCGGGAGGUGACGCUAGUGGCGGCGGUGGCGGACGGGAUGAAGGCGUGGGAGGUCAUGCGGGGCCGCGGUGCACGUUCGCCACGGUGGCGGUGGCCGAGGUGCAGGCCAAGGAGCGGCUGCCCACGAUCUGCUGCCCCGGAACGUUGUGCUAUACCAGUACCAGGCGUUCCCCUUCUGCAACAAGGUCAGAGUGACCUCGGAUCUGGUGAUGGGCGCCAAGGAGAAGCAGCUCAAGGUCAAGGGCCUCGAUUUGGGCUGAUUUACUGAUUUGGUUUCCUCUGAUGGUGAUGCUUGUUCCUGAAGGCGCUGGCCAAGGAGCUGGUGCAGUCCAGGAAGGCGGUCAACCACCUCUACGAGAACAAGGCCCAGCUCAACUCCAUCUCCAUGCACCUCGGCAAGAUCGUCGGGAGCUUCGCAUCCGAGUCUCGUCCAUCGUCGGUAGCAAGGAGCUGGGCCAAGGGGGCAAGCAGCGCUGCUGGUUACUUGGGGCAGCAUGGCGUGUGGCGGCCUAUUUUGCUUCCAAGAGCAGUACUGUUUAUUUGAAAUUGAAUGAUGUACUCGGCUACUGCCUAGUAAAAAAUUGAAUGAUUGUCAUGUACUGUCUAUGAUGUAGUGAGCUGUAGGAGUGAAAUGAAAUUUUAUCUGUUGUUGUA
This is a long non-coding RNA of Triticum urartu, 1040 nucleotides long. RefSeq lists it as uncharacterized. NCBI's taxonomy places the organism in Eukaryota, Viridiplantae, Streptophyta, Magnoliopsida, Poales, Poaceae. The record is from RefSeq and is a predicted model, not a curated record.